Molecule: long non-coding RNA, 354 nt
Filed under: Hordeum vulgare
Lineage: Eukaryota; Viridiplantae; Streptophyta; Magnoliopsida; Poales; Poaceae
Description: long non-coding RNA (HVUL_LNC013861)
Source: RNAcentral
UUCACGUUUAACUGCAGUGCCUGAAGAUAAAUCCUGUGAACUGACGGGAAAUACAGUCACAGUGUCCAAUAAAGAUAUCCCUGGGGCAGAGGUCCAGGCUUACAACGAUGAAAUCCCCAUUAAGUUAGGUCAACUUGACGGUGAUCGCAUUGGCUCCCUUGCCAAUGUCCUUACUGAACCACUGCAACAUGAAGAUUCUUGUUCUGGGGAUUCGAGAAGACUGACCAAUAGUAGUAAGUUGUUGCUACUGAAAGAAAACAUAGCCAGGGAGCUUGAAAAGACUGAGCUUGAGAUUGAUUCUGUGGUCGGCAUGUGCGUCCAAUAUCUCCUGUCAUCGAUGGCAGUUAUGACCAG